CCUAAUACAUGCAAGUCGAGCGAACUCAAUUAAAGCUUGCUUUAUGAGAGUUAGCGGCGGACGGGUGAGUAACACGUGGGCAACCUGCCCUGUAGACUGGGAUAACUUCGGGAAACCGAAGCUAAUACCGGAUAAUCUUUGGAGCCUCAUGGUUCUAAAGUGAAAGUUGGGUUUACCUAACACUACAGGAUGGGCCCGCGUCGCAUUAGCUAGUUGGUAAGGUAACGGCUUACCAAGGCGACGAUGCGUAGCCGACCUGAGAGGGUGAUCGGCCACACUGGGACGUUUUCGAUGACGGUGUUCUUUUUAUUUACUGCCAUUUGGUUUACACCAAACUUUAACGAACAUACGUCAGCAGG
Anaerobacillus alkalilacustris is the source of this 359-nucleotide non-coding RNA. The record is from Rfam. NCBI's taxonomy places the organism in Bacteria, Bacillati, Bacillota, Bacilli, Caryophanales, Bacillaceae.